AAAGUCGUAACAAGGUUUCCGUAGGUGAACCUGCGGAAGGAUCAUUACCGCUUGCUCAACGGCAUCGCCCUUCGGGGAGAGCCGCAGCAUGCAACCCUUGCCUAUGUCUACCAUUCGUUAUUCCCUCGGCGGGGUGACCUGCCGACGGGGACCAACAAACCCUUUUGCAUAAGCAUCGAAAUUCUGAAAACACGCAAAAUAAUCACAACUUUCAACAAUGGAUCUCUUGGUUCUG
Molecule: unclassified non-coding RNA, 235 nt
Filed under: Ascomycota sp.
Lineage: Eukaryota; Fungi; Ascomycota
Description: partial contains small subunit ribosomal RNA, internal transcribed spacer 1, and 5.8S ribosomal RNA
Rfam family: Eukaryotic small subunit ribosomal RNA (bases 1-47)
Source: RNAcentral